GUCCAGGGUAGCCUAGUGGACAUGGCAUCUGCCCGGUAAGCGGAACACUGUGUGUUCGAUUCCCAUCCCUAGACA
This 75-nucleotide transfer RNA is filed under the name Cordylochernes scorpioides. RNAcentral's name for it is "tRNA-Thr". It matches the Rfam family "tRNA". From Rfam's summary of the family: Transfer RNA (tRNA) molecules are approximately 80 nucleotides in length. Their secondary structure includes four short double-helical elements and three loops (D, anti-codon, and T loops). Further hydrogen bonds mediate the characteristic L-shaped molecular structure. tRNAs have two regions of fundamental functional importance: the anti-codon, which is responsible for specific mRNA codon recognition, and the 3' end, to which the tRNAs corresponding amino acid is attached (by aminoacyl-tRNA synthetases). tRNAs cope with the degeneracy of the genetic code in two manners: having more than one tRNA (with a specific anti-codon) for a particular amino acid; and 'wobble' base-pairing, i.e. permitting non-standard base-pairing at the 3rd anti-codon position. The record is from RNAcentral. Lineage: Eukaryota; Metazoa; Arthropoda; Arachnida; Pseudoscorpiones; Chernetidae.